UUACGGUCAUAUCACGUUGAAACAUCGGUUCAGGUACGAACGCCGAAGUAAAGCAACGUCGAGCUUGGUCAAUAACUAGAUGGGUAACCGCUUGGGAAUACCAAGUGCUGCAAG
Non-coding RNA from Acanthosepion pharaonis, 114 nucleotides. The record is from the annotation of a GenBank genome assembly. NCBI's taxonomy places the organism in Eukaryota, Metazoa, Mollusca, Cephalopoda, Sepiida, Sepiidae.